GUGGAAGUAAUGCCUUUUUGGGAAUCAUAUCAAGGGAGGGCUCGUGUUCAUCUAAGACUUGCAGCUGCUCCACUAACAAAGAAUGUUCCAACGUGAAGGGAUUGACUUGCGAAUGCCCUUUUUCCUCACGACUUGAAUUUCAUUACUGUAGGAGUGAAUUUCCAGCCAGCAAUAUUUCCAUUUUUCCCGUGCCAGCGACUGUUGUUCUCUCUGAGCGAGUAAAUGAUCCUUCAGUAAAUGACUUAGGGAAAUGUUUCGACCCACAAUGUGACAAGAAGCCUGAUUCAGAGUCA
This is a long non-coding RNA of Pocillopora damicornis (cauliflower coral), 293 nucleotides long. NCBI's taxonomy places the organism in Eukaryota, Metazoa, Cnidaria, Anthozoa, Scleractinia, Pocilloporidae. The record is from RefSeq and is a predicted model, not a curated record.